UACGAAGGGGGCUAGCGUUGCUCGGAAUCACUGGGCGUAAAGGGUGCGUAGGCGGAUCUUUAAGUCAGAGGUGAAAUCCCAAGGCUCAACCUUGGAACUGCCUUUGAUACUGGGGAUCUUGAGUCCGGGAGAGGUGAGUGGAACUGCGAGUGUAGAGGUGAAAUUCGUAGAUAUUCGCAAGAACACCAGUGGCGAAGGCGGCUCACUGGCCCGGUACUGACGCUGAGGUGCGAAAGCGUGGGGAGCAAACAGG
This 253-nucleotide ribosomal RNA is filed under the name uncultured bacterium. RNAcentral describes it as "partial 16S ribosomal RNA". It matches the Rfam family "Bacterial small subunit ribosomal RNA", at positions 524 to 776 of the family's 1533-position model. The record is from RNAcentral.